This 250-nucleotide unclassified non-coding RNA is filed under the name Hevea brasiliensis (rubber tree). The record is from RNAcentral. Lineage: Eukaryota; Viridiplantae; Streptophyta; Magnoliopsida; Malpighiales; Euphorbiaceae.
CAGCAGAUCAAGAUCGGGAGUUUCACAAAGUGAGACCCAUCGUGCGCCAAGUCCAGGCAUGUCGAGCCUGCGCAGCCCGGACCAACCGAAAUUCUGCUGCCAUUGGCCGUUUUCAAACACGCGCACUGGCUGGCCCCCAUAGGAUAAGAUAGCCUGCACCACGGACAAUCCACGAGGCGCCUUUGCGCNGGACCUCGUCGAUCUGCUGCCAGCCAGCGACCAGCUGCGUCAGUGCUGCAUGUGAAAGUGC